UAUAAUUUAAGGUCUGGCCUGCCCAAUGAUAGAAAUAUUUAAUGGCCGCGGUAUUUUGACCGUGCAAAGGUAGCAUAAUCAUUAGUUUUUUAAUUGAAAGCUUGUAUGAAAGGUUGGAUGAGAAAAUAGCUGUCUCUGUUUAAAUUUUUUUAGAAUUUUAUUUUUAAGUUAAAAAGCUUAAAUUUUUAUGAAAGACGAGAAGACCCUAUAGAGUUUUAUAUUUUUAUAAUAAGAGAGGUUUUAGUAUUUAAAGUAUUUUUAUUAUGAAGGUAUUUAGUUGGGGUGAUUAAAAAAUAAAAUUAACUUUUUUUUUUAUUUAUACAUUGAUAUAUGAUUAAAUGAUCCUUUAUUUAAGAUUAAAAGACAAAAUUACCUUAGGGAUAACAGCGUAAUUUUUUUUGAGAGUUCAAAUCGAAAGAAAAGAUUGCGACCUCGAUGUUGGAUUAAAAUUUAUUUUUGGUGUAGAAGCUAAAAUAAUUAGGUCUGUUCGACCUUUAAAAUUUUACA
This 507-nucleotide ribosomal RNA is filed under the name Rhyssomatus sp. ARC3965. RNAcentral's name for it is "partial 16S ribosomal RNA". It matches the Rfam family "Bacterial large subunit ribosomal RNA", at positions 1839 to 2600 of the family's 2925-position model. Lineage: Eukaryota; Metazoa; Arthropoda; Insecta; Coleoptera; Curculionidae. The record is from RNAcentral.